AUGUUUUGAUGAUCGCUGCAAAUGUUUUAUUUGUAGAGGAAAGUCCAUGCUCGCACAAGCUGUGAUGCUUGUAGUGUUCGUGCUUGAUGAAUAAAUAAGUCAAGGCAGUCUCACUCGGUGAGACUGACGGCAGGGAACUGAGCUACGUCUUCGGAUAUGCUCACAAUACCUUGAAAGUGCCACAGUGACGUAGUCAGACGGGAAACCGUUUGAGUGGAACGCGGUAAACCCCACGAGUGAGCAACCCAAAUAUUGGUAGGGGCAUCUUUGAUUAGGGAAUUUGAACCGAAACAAGGGCAUAAUCUUUGAUUGUGCAGAUAGAUGAUUAUCACUAAGGCACGAGGCUGACCACCGUUUGUAGUGCUCUAGGACAGAACAUGGCUUAUAAAA
RNAcentral lists this RNase P RNA (390 nucleotides) under Streptohalobacillus salinus. RNAcentral describes it as "Halolactibacillus sp. H96B60 Bacterial RNase P class B". It matches the Rfam family "Bacterial RNase P class B". Rfam says of the family: Ribonuclease P (RNase P) is a ubiquitous endoribonuclease, found in archaea, bacteria and eukarya as well as chloroplasts and mitochondria. Its best characterised activity is the generation of mature 5'-ends of tRNAs by cleaving the 5'-leader elements of precursor-tRNAs. The record is from Rfam by way of RNAcentral. Lineage: Bacteria; Bacillati; Bacillota; Bacilli; Caryophanales; Bacillaceae.